GCAUGCUAGUUGUACGAGCUUAGACUCGUUGCGGAAAGCUCAGUAACACGUGGCCAAACUACCCUAUGGAUCCGGACAACCUCGGGAAACUGAGGCUAAUCCGGAAUACGACUCUCAGCCUGGAAGUGGCGAGAGUCAGAAACGCUCCGGCGCCAUAGGAUGUGGCUGCGGCCGAUUAGGUAGACGGUGGGGUAACGGCCCACCGUGCCCAUAAUCGGUACGGGUUGUGAGAGCAAGAGCCCGGAGACGGUAUCUGAGACAAGAUACCGGGCCCUACGGGGCGCAGCAGGCGCGAAACCUUUACACUGCACGAAAGUGCGAUAAGGGGACUCCAAGUGCGAGGGCAUAUAGUCCUCGCUUUUCACUACCGUAAGGAGGUAGUAGAAUAAGUGCUGGGCAAGACCGGUGCCAGCCGCCGCGGUAAUACCGGCAGCACGAGUGAUGACCGCUCUUAUUGGGCCUAAAGCGUCCGUAGCUGGCCACGCAAGUCUAUCGGGAAAUCCGCGCGCUCAACGCGCGGGCGUCCGGUGGAAACUGUGUGGCUUGGGACCGGAAGAUCCAGAGGGUACGUCUGGGGUAGGAGUGAAAUCCCGUAAUCCUGGACGGACCACCGGUGGCGAAAGCGCUCUGGAAAGACGGAUCCGACGGUGAGGGACGAAAGCUCGGGUCACGAACCGGGAUUAGAUACCCGGGUAGUCCGAGCUGUAAACGAUGUCUGCUAGGUGUGCCACAGGCUACGAGCCUGUGGUGUGCCGUAGGGAAGCCGUGAAGCAGACCGCCUGGGAAGUACGUCCGCAAGGAUGAAACUUAA
This 811-nucleotide ribosomal RNA is filed under the name uncultured euryarchaeote. Its description in RNAcentral is "bacterial SSU rRNA". It matches the Rfam family "Archaeal small subunit ribosomal RNA", at positions 49 to 859 of the family's 1478-position model. Lineage: Archaea; Methanobacteriati; Methanobacteriota. The record is from RNAcentral.